CAGUAGCCGCGGGAAUACGAAGGUCCCGAGCGUUGUUCGGAAUCACUGGGCGUAAAGGGAGCGUAGGCGGUAUGGUAAGUCAGAUGUGAAAUCCCGGGGCUCAACCCCGGAACUGCAUCCGAUACUGCCGUGCUAGAGGACUGGAGAGGCAACUGGAAUUCUCGGUGUAGCAGUGAAAUGCGUGGAGAUCGAGAGGAACACUCGUGGCGAAAGCGAGUUGCUGGACAGUAUCUGACGCUGAGGCUCGAAGGCCAGGGUAGCGAAAGGGAUUAGAUACCCCUGUAGUCCCUGUCUCUUAUAC
RNAcentral lists this ribosomal RNA (301 nucleotides) under uncultured bacterium. Its description in RNAcentral is "partial 16S ribosomal RNA". It matches the Rfam family "Bacterial small subunit ribosomal RNA", at positions 509 to 807 of the family's 1533-position model. The record is from RNAcentral.